This is a non-coding RNA of Oryza nivara, 204 nucleotides long. NCBI's taxonomy places the organism in Eukaryota, Viridiplantae, Streptophyta, Magnoliopsida, Poales, Poaceae. The record is from Rfam.
AAAAAGACAGAACCUGAUUUCCGUGUCCAACAUUUGACCGUUCGUCUUAUUUGAAAAAGUUAUGACAAAAAUUAAAAAGAUAAGUCACGUAUAAAGUAUUAAUCAAGUUUUAUCAUUAAACAACAAUAAAAAUAUUAAUUAUAAAAAAUUUCAUAUAAAACGGACAGUCAAACGUUAGCACGGGAAUCCACGAUUUUUUUUGGA